CAGCAUAUUGAAGUAACAUUUUGCGAUUAGUUGUUAGUAUGCUCUCAUUCCGUGAUUUAUUUAUUCUUUAUCUUUAUAUUUGUGUUCAUUUAAUUGACCCAACUCAGCAAAAACAGAGCUGCUGUGGGAUUAUGCAAGAUGAGGAAACAAAUCAAUCUACGAGAAUACUAACUAGUUACUCGCACCAAUUUAUGCAAAAGUCUCAAUACAGAAUCACCAACUAACAAAUCUACCAGACUUUGAAUAAGUUUAUUUCAGAGACAAAAACGUAUAACAAUGGCAUUUUGUUGAACAAAUAUGAUUCAAACAUAGCAGUAUCUAGUAUUUAAGAAAAACCAUAUUCUUCCACCAGAAUACACUAAUAUUUCCUUACAAAAUUACAUUGUACUAAUAUUUUAUAUCUCUAGUUGGUGUGCAGUAUGUGGUAUAAAAACAUUGGAAGCAUAGAAGUAAUUUCUAUAAGUCAGUAAAACAGAAAUUAGUCCACGCUCUCAUUAUAAUAUACCCUUCAUCAUACAAACAACCCAGAUAUUAAAAUUUAUCCAUUCAAGAUAAACAAAGUUAUCGACUAAGAUUCGAACUAAUUUACCAUGUCAAUAUUGCUUGUAUUUCGGAAAGGUUAUUACUUGUAGUACUGGGUUUUAAUUUUACAUUUAAUCUUUCAAAAUGACGUAAGCAUUCCUUUGCGCAUGCUUCCCCCUUUUUGCUUGAAACUUCCCAGCGGGUUGGUCGCAUGAAAAUCCCCACCCACCCUCCCCAAAUUUUGUAUAGGUAAAUUUCCUGCACGGUUAAGAGGACUUUUUCUGCUGCGGAUUUUGCUUUAAAUUUCAGAUUCAGCGUCAUGGCUUCAUAAAGGGCCAUGUUGAGGGUACAUCAUUGUGCGGAAAGAGACAUUAUGUUGAAGCUGCAUCAUCGUGCGGGUCUGGCGGAAUUUUGCUAUCUAGAGAGCCAUUCACUGUUUCCAGGUCCUUCGGUGGUGUGGUUUUCUACUCACUUUUGAUAUGCAGCUAAAAAGCUUAUGGGAAGCUCGGCGCAUCUGUUGUAUGUUUAAUUGAUUCAUUAAAGCCAUGACAUUUAUCCAAAU
Molecule: long non-coding RNA, 1084 nt
Organism: Ostrea edulis (European flat oyster)
Lineage: Eukaryota; Metazoa; Mollusca; Bivalvia; Ostreida; Ostreidae
Exons: 2
Source: RefSeq, a predicted model, not a curated record